Molecule: ribosomal RNA, 490 nt
Filed under: uncultured bacterium
Lineage: Bacteria
Description: partial 16S ribosomal RNA
Rfam family: Bacterial small subunit ribosomal RNA
Source: RNAcentral
AUUGAACGCUGGCGGCAGGCCUAACACAUGCAAGUCGAACGGUAACAGGAAGCAGCUUGCUGCUUCGCUGACGAGUGGCGGACGGGUGAGUAAUGUCUGGGAAGCUGCCUGAUGGAGGGGGAUAACUACUGGAAACGGUAGCUAAUACCGCAUAAUGUCGCAAGACCAAAGAGGGGGACCUUCGGGCCUCUUGCCAUCGGAUGUGCCCAGAUGGGAUUAGCUUGUUGGUGGGGUAACGGCUCGCCAAGGCGACGAUCCCUAGCUGGUCUGAGAGGAUGACCAGCCACACUGGAACUGAGACACGGUCCAGACUCCUACGGGAGGCAGCAGUGGGGAAUAUUGCACAAUGGGCGCAAGCCUGAUGCAGCCAUGCCGCGUGUAUGAAGAAGGCCUUCGGGUUGUAAAGUACUUUCAGCGGGGAGGAAGGGAGUAAAGUUAAUACCUUUGCUCAUUGACGUUACCCGCAGAAGAAGCACCGGCUAACUCCGUG